AGAUGUGGCUGAAAUAGCCGAAUCCACUAAUUUGAAGGGGUGUCCACAUACUUUUGUAUGUAUAUGUAUAUAUGCGUAUGUAAUUUGUGUUAAGGGUUUAGUCUUUGAAUAGUGGAUUUUGCAGAUUCCCUUGGCCUCCUGUUUGUUCACUUUUGAUGCCUGGUCUUGCUGUAAAGAGACUGAUUAUUGCUAGACUUAUUUUUUCUUCACCAUUAAACAACGUAUUCAUUGACUAGCCUAACUUCUCUACCUUUGAAAGCCUCUGUAGAUGAACCUCUGAUCUUUUUUUAUAUAAAUACAUUUUUUCUAAUUAAGAGUAGGCCUAUGCAUUGAUCAAAUAUCCUAUGAUGGAUCAUGUUUUUCUUUUUGCAAAUACAUUUUUCAGCCAUUUUUGGAUGUUUUAUCUGUGGGCAAUUUUUUGUUCUUCCUUUUUUUUAGGAGAGAUUAAGAAAGACACUGCAUCAAGACUUGCUUUGCAGUUACCCAUACUUUCCUAUUCUACGGUCAACUACGAAGUGGAAGUAUUUAUUUUUAAGGACACUUCCACUGACAUUCUUAGGUGUUCCUCUGACACCUGUGGGAUUAAAAGGUAUGCAAGUAAAUGUGUGACUGGGAUGCACAGUGCAGCUUUUUCUACUUUUAUUAGGUGUGCUUGCCAUUCAAACUUUAAAACAUGUAGACCGGUCUGGAAUGGUGUGCUUGUAUACAGCGUUUUGAUACCAUUUAUACUAGAGCCCGACUGAUAUGGGAUUUUUGGAUCAGGUUUUUAGAGUGGAAACAUUCACUGAUCAUCGAUAUAUCUGUCUAUAUUUUUAUUAUUUAGCUGGAAUGAAAAUUAAAAACAUUUCCUGUAUGGAUUGUGAUUAAAAAUAUACUUUUAAUGUAAGCACCACAGAAAAUGUAGGAGCGCCAGAAAUAAUCUUUUUUUUUUUUUUUAUGAAAAACUGUUACUAUAGUGAAAGGAGGGUAAACUGCACUGAUUCCAGAAAAGAAUAGCCUAGACUCUGAAGACUGAGCGGCCUUAUGCUAGUCAGCUGGAAAACGACAGCUAUUCGGCCUUAUGCUAGUCAGCUGGAAAACGACAGCUAUUCGGCCUUAUGCUAGUCAGCUGGAAAACGACAGCUAUUCGGCCUUAUGCUAGUCAGCUGGAAAACGACAGCUAUUCGGCCUUAUGCUAGUCAGCUGGAAAACGACAGCUAUUCGGCCUUAUGCUAGUCAGCUGGAAAACGACAGCUAUUCGGCCUUAUGCUAGUCAGCUGGAAAACGACAGCUAUUCGGCCUUAUGCUAGUCAGCUGGAAAACGACAGCUAUUCGGCCUUAUGCUAGUCAGCUGGAAAACGACAGCUAUUCGGCCUUAUGCUAGUCAGCUGGAAAACGACAGCUAUUCGGCCUUAUGCUAGUCAGCUGGAAAACGACAGCUAUUCGGCCUUAUGCUAGUCAGCUGGAAAACGACAGCUAUUCGGCCUUAUGCUAGUCAGCUGGAAAACGACAGCUAUUCGGCCUUAUGCUAGUCAGCUGGAAAACGACAGCUAUUCGGCCUUAUGCUAGUCAGCUGGAAAACGACAGCUAUUCGGCCUUAUGCUAGUCAGCUGGAAAACGACAGCUAUUCGGCCUUAUGCUAGUCAGCUGGAAAACGACAGCUAUUCAUCGACUGUAGAGCUGUAGCCACUUCAUUCUGGUAGUUGUCACUUGCAAGGAAAAAUAUAAUUCACAAACUUUUACGCUGGCAUGGAGCUGCCUCUCGCCCCAAGUGUUGCCUCAGUGAACUGUCCUUGCUAUCCGGAAUCCUUGGGACAUCCCUACCCCAUUGUUUUGAAACACCAUGUAAACACUGAGAAUGUAAAGCAUUUUUUAUGUGUCUACCUGGCAUCAGUUUUUGUUGGUCUUUUUGUCGCCUUUUUGAACAAUGGAUUGUCUUCAUUUUUUGUACAUUGAAUUUAAAAUAAAUAAAUAUUUUGUAUUUUUGUUUCUUUUAUUUUUUUUUUCAUUUAGACUCUCUUAUCCAAGGCGACUUACAGUAGUGAGUGCUUACAUUUUCAUGGAUGUUUUUGUGAUAUUAAUUUUUCUGAGCAGAUGUUUGUCAGCCAUUUUUGGAGGCUGAUUAUUUAGUUUAUUUUUGCUUUUUUUCCUGGGAGGAUUAACAAACUUUUUAAUGAAGUCAUCAUACUUCUCCCAUUUGUGGACAGCCUAAAAGGAGUUUCUGUCUGGCAUACUUUGGAGUGUCUUUGGAACAAAAGGUGCUACGUCUCUGUGUCAACCGGCUGAGCAUGCGCCCCAAAAACGGAAUGGUUUUACCAUCCUUUCAGUCCUUUCUACCAUGUUGGAAUGAACUCUUCAGAAGUGAAUAGCCUACCUCAAAGCCCUGAAGACUACCAUGGUGGUUUCCAGCUUCAGCCAGCCCAGGACUUUGAGAGAGGCGUCAGCUGAUGGAAUACCUAGAGGCUACCUGUGUCUGGCCUCCAAGGGGUCUCCUGUCCCUCUCCUGCUCUUUACCCCCCCCCCCUAGAUGUCCCAGUGGACAGCUACACCCACCACAUCAGAGAAUUCCCUGUCUCUAUAGGUAUCAGCAUCUCAGGUGGGAUGGAGUCCAAGCUGCAGCCUAUGAUUCAUAUGGAGAAGAUCUUUCCAGGAGGAGCUGCCUCUACCAGUGACGUUCUGAAGGUGAGGUAUGAGCUGGUUUCGGUGGACGGUGAGUCUCUGCAGCGUGUGACCCAUCAGUAUGCGGUGGACGUGUUCAGCAACAAGGCCAAAGAUCCCAUGGUGUUCGUCGUCAAGAUCUCCAAGGGACCCCAAGAGCCCAGCUGACUAGCCCACUGUCAGGCUUACACAAGUACUACACACACACACACAGUACUACUGGCCUGUCUACAAGGAUGCUCUGAAGUGCAGUUCACCCACCCACUGGAAAUGGAAAUUAAUGUAAUGCUGGUUCAAACUAGAACGCAUGUCGACUUAAAGAGGAGGAGGAUUCCUCUAAUGCAGACGGUUGGCUCCAGCUAGGCUGCAAUGGAAAGGAAUUGUCUAUUGCCAGAGGAGAGGAGCAUGGGUAUCUCUUGACACUGACCAAUAAACUUGCUUCUCCUCUUGGGAAAAAAGGACAAUGUUUGUUUCCAUAGCAAACAGUAAAUACCUCCAAAAUAAAUGUUUUUACAUUUUAUGUUGUAACUGCAGUCGACAUGUAGGUCUACUGUGCCUACUUUGUAUAUAAUAUGUGAUAAAUACUAUUUAUCAUAGAUGGACUUGAUUAUAUGUAUCCCUUUUGUUAUAUUAACUUGUAUUUUUAGAAAAACAGUUUGUAAUCCUUAGGGGUGUUAUCUAGCGUUGUUAGGAGUCAGCAGCUAGCAAUCCAUAUUAAUAUAGAGAUCAUCAAGGGAAGGGAACUUAAUUUUGUGGAAGCAGAGAACAAAACACAUGCACACUUAACCACACACACUACCAAGUGCACCAUUCUAAGAAUGGCGCCGGAGGGGAUGGCUGCCAUUUUACGGGCUCCUAACCAACUGUGCUCAUUUACAAAUUACCUUGA
This is an RNA transcript of Coregonus clupeaformis (lake whitefish), 3526 nucleotides long. It is a transcript of the gene named PDZ domain-containing protein 7, with no coding region annotated. The record is from RefSeq and is a predicted model, not a curated record. The transcript is spliced from 5 exons. NCBI's taxonomy places the organism in Eukaryota, Metazoa, Chordata, Actinopteri, Salmoniformes, Salmonidae.